UAAAUCCCACUAGGGUCCAUGCAGGUAUCAAAACUACUGCAAGUCCCCAUGGUCCCAAGCGUGGUGAUCUUCCUUCAGUUGCUGGUGAUUAUUAGC
This is a long non-coding RNA of Haliotis rubra (blacklip abalone), 96 nucleotides long. RefSeq lists it as uncharacterized. Lineage: Eukaryota; Metazoa; Mollusca; Gastropoda; Lepetellida; Haliotidae. The record is from RefSeq and is a predicted model, not a curated record. The transcript is spliced from 3 exons.